AUGUGUGAUGCUAGUGAUUAUGUUGUAUGUGCUGUUCAGGGUCAAAGAGUUGAUAAGAAGUUGAAUGUCAUCCCAUAUGCUAGUAAAACUCUAGACAAUGCCCAGAGAAAUUAUGCUACUACUGAAAAAGAAUUUUUAGUAGUUGUUUUUGCUUCUGAUAAGUUCAGACCUUAUAUUGUUGAUUCUAAAGUAACUAUUCACACUGAUCAUGCUGCUAUUAAAUACCUUAUGGAAAAGAAAGAUGCUAAACCUAGACUUAUUAGAUGGGUUGUCUUGCUACAAGAAUUUGAUUUGCAUAUUAUUGGUAGAAAGGGAGGUGAGAACCCCGUUGCAGACAACUUGUCUAGGUUAGAAAAUGUUCUUGAUGACCCACUACCUAUUGAUGAUAGCUUCCCCGAUGAACAAUUAAAUGUCAUAAAUGCUUCUCAUACUGCUUCAUGGUAUGCUGAUUAUGCUAAUUACAUUGUUGCUAAAUCUAUACCACCUGGUUUCACAUACCAGCAAAAGAAGAAUUUUUUCUAUGAUUUGAGACAUUACUUUUGGGAUGACCCACAUCUUUAUAAAGAAGGAGCAGAUGGUAUUAUUAGGCGUUGUGUACCUGAGCAUGAACAGGAACAGAUCCUACACAAGUGUCACUCUGAGGCUUAUGGAGGACACCAUGCUGGAGACAGAACUGCACAUAAGGUAUUGCAAUCCAGUUUUUAUUGGCCUACUCUCUUCAAGGAUGCCCGUAAGUUUGUCUUAUCUUGUGAUGAAUGUCAAAGAAUUGGUAAUAUUAGUAGACGUCAAGAAAUGCCUAUGAAUUAUUCACUCGUUAUCGAACCAUUUGAUGUUUGGGGCUUUGAUUAUAUGGGACCAUUUCCUUCCUCUAAUGGGUAUACACAUACUUUAGUUGCUAUUGAUUAUGUUACUAAGUGGGUAGAAGCUAUUCCAACUAGUAGUGCUAAUCAUAACACCUCUAUUAAUAUGCUUAAAGAAUUUAUUUUUCUGAGGUUUGGAGUCCCUAGAUAUUUAAUGACUGAUGGUGGUUCACAUUUUAUUCAAGGUGCCUUUCGUAAAAUGCUUGCUAAGUAUGAUGUUAAUCAUAGAAUUGCAUCUCCUUAUCACCCACAGUCUAGUGGUCAUGUAUAA
RNAcentral lists this ribosomal RNA (1131 nucleotides) under Triticum aestivum (bread wheat). RNAcentral describes it as "partial small subunit ribosomal RNA". The record is from RNAcentral. Lineage: Eukaryota; Viridiplantae; Streptophyta; Magnoliopsida; Poales; Poaceae.